ACUUGCAGCCAUACCACCCUGAGCGUGGCUGAUCUCGUCUGAUCUCGGACGCUAAGCAGGGUCGGGCCUGGUUUGUACUUGGAUGGAAGACCGCCUGGGAAUACCAAGUGCUGUAAGCU
Molecule: ribosomal RNA, 119 nt
Organism: Cyprinus carpio carpio
Lineage: Eukaryota; Metazoa; Chordata; Actinopteri; Cypriniformes; Cyprinidae
Source: Ensembl